Molecule: transfer RNA, 64 nt
Filed under: Cavia porcellus (domestic guinea pig)
Lineage: Eukaryota; Metazoa; Chordata; Mammalia; Rodentia; Caviidae
Rfam family: tRNA
About the family: Transfer RNA (tRNA) molecules are approximately 80 nucleotides in length. Their secondary structure includes four short double-helical elements and three loops (D, anti-codon, and T loops).
Source: Rfam by way of RNAcentral
GGGGAUUUAGCUCAGUGGCAUAAGCACCUGCCUUACAAGCAGGAGGUCGUGAGUUCGAUCCCUG